Molecule: ribosomal RNA, 445 nt
Filed under: uncultured bacterium
Lineage: Bacteria
Description: bacterial SSU rRNA
Rfam family: Bacterial small subunit ribosomal RNA
Source: RNAcentral
GUGAGGAAUAUUGGACAAUGGGCGCAAGCCUGAUCCAGCCAUGCCGCGUGCAGGAAGACGCAUCUAUGGUGUGUAAACUGCUUUUGUACGGGAAGAAACACUCCCUCGUGAGGGAGCUUGACGGUACCGUAAGAAUAAGGAUCGGCUAACUCCGUGCCAGCAGCCGCGGUAAUACGGAGGAUCCAAGCGUUAUCCGGAAACAUUGGGUUUAAAGGGUCCGUAGGCGGUUUAAUAAGUCAGUGGUGAAAGCCCAUCGCUCAACGAUGGAACGGCCAUUGAUACUGUUAGACUUGAAUUACAAGGAAGUAACUAGAAUAUGUAGUGUAGCGGUGAAAUGCUUAGAUAUUACAUGGAAUACCAAUUGCGAAGGCAGGUUACUACUUGUGGAUUGACGCUGAUGGACGAAAGCGUGGGGAGCGAACAGGAUUAGAAACCCCGGUAGUCC